RNAcentral lists this ribosomal RNA (901 nucleotides) under uncultured bacterium. Its description in RNAcentral is "bacterial SSU rRNA". It matches the Rfam family "Bacterial small subunit ribosomal RNA", at positions 8 to 916 of the family's 1533-position model. The record is from RNAcentral.
AGAGUUUGAUCAUGGCUCAGGACGAACGCUGGCGGCGUGCUUAACACAUGCAAGUCGAGCGGUAAGGCCCCUUCGGGGGUACACGAGCGGCGAACGGGUGAGUAAUACGUGAGCAAUCUGCCCUUCACACGGGGAUAACCACCGGAAACGGUGGCUAAUACCCGAUACGACCACUUCAGGCAUCUGAUGGUGGUGGAAAGUUCCGGCGGUGGAGGAUGAGCUCGCGGCCUAUCAGCUUGUUGGUGGGGUAAUGGCCUACCAAGGCAACGACGGGUAGCCGGCCUGAGAGGGUGACCGGCCACACUGGGACUGAGACACGGCCCAGACUCCUACGGGAGGCAGCAGUGGGGAAUAUUGGACAAUGGGCGAAAGCCUGAUCCAGCAACGCCGCGUGAGGGAUGACGGCCUUCGGGUUGUAAACCUCUUUCAGCAGGGACGAAGCGCAAGUGACGGUACCUGCAGAAGAAGCACCGGCCAACUACGUGCCAGCAGCCGCGGUAAUACGUAGGGUGCGAGCGUUGUCCGGAAUUAUUGGGCGUAAAGGGCUCGUAGGCGGUUUGUCGCGUCGGGAGUGAAAACUCAGGGCUUAACCCUGAGCCUGCUUCCGAUACGGGCAGACUAGAGGUAUGCAGGGGAGAACGGAAUUCCUGGUGUAGCGGUGAAAUGCGCAGAUAUCAGGAGGAACACCGGUGGCGAAGGCGGUUCUCUGGGCAUUACCUGACGCUGAGGAGCGAAAGUGUGGGGGAGCGAACAGGAUUAGAUACCCUGGUAGUCCACACCGUAAACGUUGGGCGCUAGGUGUGGGACUCAUUCCACGAGUUCCGUGCCGCAGCUAACGCAUUAAGGCGCCCCGCCUGGGGGAGUACGGCCGCAAGGGCUAAAACUCAAAUGAAAUUGACGG